UUCUACAGCCAUGCCACCCUGAACAAGCCCAAUCCCCUCUGAUCUCGGAAGCUAACCAGAGUCGGACCACCUAGGAAAACCAGGUGCUGUAGGCA
This 95-nucleotide ribosomal RNA is filed under the name Pteropus alecto (black flying fox). Lineage: Eukaryota; Metazoa; Chordata; Mammalia; Chiroptera; Pteropodidae. The record is from RNAcentral.